GAGGGGGAAUGAGAGGCUCUCCAUUGAAAGAAGCAGCAGGGGGUACUGAAACAGAGUAGAAGAGUGUGAAAGCUGGUGGGGUUUUUGUUGUUGUUGUUGCUUUUAGUCCUAAGUUGGUGGCAUGAAAACACUGCCCUGGAAGCAAUGGAGCAGCAAGUGCUCUACCCACAUGGAAGUCUUUGGGACCUGCACUUCAAUGAGCGCGGAGAGGAAAAGGAGCGAAGAACCAACACAACUGAAGCACCUACGAGCGUCAGGCACUGGCCCAGCUGCCGUGGAUCCCCCGAGUUGAAGGUCGUAUAACCUCAGCCUGCCCAAAUGAACCAAGCACACAACCACGGGGGAACCCAAGAGUUCCAGUGGGAGAGCUGGAAGAGCAGGGACCGAUGUGAGAAGUGGACACCAUAUGGCAGGACCCAGGAUCCAAUCAGACUGAGCCCUGGGGUCACCCCAUGGAGGGAUCCAGUUGGAUCAUGCCUCCUGGCAUCACCUACUGCAAGAUCCAAUCAGAUCACACCUCCUUACCCUAUGCUUAUAAAACCCCACCCAGCCCCCAGCCCGAGGAUACAGAUUUGAGUAUUUCCUCCUGUUUCCUUACCAGUCGAUG
This 607-nucleotide long non-coding RNA is filed under the name Pan troglodytes (chimpanzee). RNAcentral's name for it is "long non-coding RNA NONPTRT014480". Lineage: Eukaryota; Metazoa; Chordata; Mammalia; Primates; Hominidae. The record is from RNAcentral.